GCAUUCGUAGUGCAAAUGAUAUAGCAUGCACCCUUGGAUUGGGUGAAAUGCGGGUUCAAAUCCCGCUUGACGCA
This is a non-coding RNA of Parelaphostrongylus tenuis, 74 nucleotides long. NCBI's taxonomy places the organism in Eukaryota, Metazoa, Nematoda, Chromadorea, Rhabditida, Metastrongylidae. The record is from the annotation of a GenBank genome assembly.